This 406-nucleotide ribosomal RNA is filed under the name uncultured bacterium. RNAcentral's name for it is "partial 16S ribosomal RNA". It matches the Rfam family "Bacterial small subunit ribosomal RNA", at positions 30 to 526 of the family's 1533-position model. The record is from RNAcentral.
AUUGAACGCUGGCGGCAGGCCUAACACAUGCAAGUCGAACGAGUGGCGGACGGGUGAGUAAUGUCUGGGGAACUGCCUGAUGGCGGGGGAUAACUACUGGAAACGGUAGCUAAUACCGCAUACCAUCAGAUGUGCCCAGAUGGGAUUAGCUUGUAGGUGGGGUAACGGCUCACCUAGGCGACGAUCCCUAGCUGGUCUGAGAGGAUGACCAGCCACACUGGAACUGAGACACGGUCCAGACUCCUACGGGAGGCAGCAGUGGGGAAUAUUGCACAAUGGGCGCAAGCCUGAUGCAGCCAUGCCGCGUGUAUGAAGAAGGUCUUCGGGUGGUAAAGCACUUUAAUUAGGGAGGCGUUACCUAACCAAGAAGCAACGGCUAACUACGUGCCAGCAGCCGCGGUAAUAC